Molecule: ribosomal RNA, 253 nt
Filed under: uncultured bacterium
Lineage: Bacteria
Description: partial 16S ribosomal RNA
Rfam family: Bacterial small subunit ribosomal RNA
Source: RNAcentral
UACGUAGGGCGCGAGCGUUAAUCGGAAUUACUGGGCGUAAAGCGUGCGUAGGCGGCUAUGUAAGACAGAUGUGAAAUCCCUGGGCUUAACCUAGGAACUGCAUUUGUGACUGCAUUGCUAGAGUGUGGUAGAGGGAGAUGGAAUUCCGCAUGUAGCAGUGAAAUGCGUAGAUAUGCGGAGGAACACCAAUGGCGAAGGCAAUCUCCUGGACCUGCACUGACGCUCAUGCACGAAAGCGUGGGGAGCAAACAGG